UGGGGGAAUAUUGCACAAUGGGCGGAAGCCUGAUGCAGCGACGCCGCGUGAGCGAAGAAGUAUUUCGGUAUGUAAAGCUCUAUCAGCAGGGAAGAAAAUGACGGUACCUGACUAAGAGGCUCCGGCUAAAUACGUGCCAGCAGCCGCGGUAAUACGUAUGGAGCAAGCGUUAUCCGGAUUUACUGGGUGUAAAGGGAGCGUAGACGGACUGGCAAGUCUGGUGUGAAAGGCUGGGGCUCAACCCCGGGACUGCAUUGGAAACUGCCUGUCUUGAGUGCCGGAGAGGUAAGCGGAAUUCCUAGUGUAGCGGUGAAAUGCGUAGAUAUUAGGAGGAACACCAGUGGCGAAGGCGGCUUACUGGACGGUAACUGACGUUGAGGCUCGAAAGCGUGGGGAGCAAAC
RNAcentral lists this ribosomal RNA (402 nucleotides) under uncultured Lachnospiraceae bacterium. Its description in RNAcentral is "bacterial SSU rRNA". It matches the Rfam family "Bacterial small subunit ribosomal RNA", at positions 354 to 773 of the family's 1533-position model. The record is from RNAcentral. Lineage: Bacteria; Bacillati; Bacillota; Clostridia; Lachnospirales; Lachnospiraceae.